Molecule: ribosomal RNA, 279 nt
Filed under: uncultured bacterium
Lineage: Bacteria
Description: partial 16S ribosomal RNA
Rfam family: Bacterial small subunit ribosomal RNA
Source: RNAcentral
UGCCAGCCGCCGCGGUAAUACGGAGGGGGCUAGCGUUGCUCGGAAUUACUGGGCGUAAAGCGCACGUAGGCGGACUAUUAAGUCAGGGGUGAAAUCCCGGGGCUCAACCCCGGAACUGCCUCUGAUACUGGUAGUCUUGAGUUCGAGAGAGGUGAGUGGAAUUCCUAGUGUAGAGGUGAAAUUCAUAGAUAUUAGGAAGAACACCAGUGGCGAAGACGGCUCACUGGUCCGAUACUGACGCUGAGGUGCGAAAGCGUGGGGAGCGAACAGGAUUAGAUA